GCCCUCUCAGAGUCACACCUGGAGGGUUUCCAGUACUUUGCCAUUCUCGGCAAUGAGAGGGAGAGUCAAGUAGAGGCCUAUUCAUUCCAUUCCUAGCUUGGGCAGUGGCUAGUGAGUGGAAGGCAAUCUCCUACAAGU
Tachyglossus aculeatus (Australian echidna) is the source of this 138-nucleotide small nucleolar RNA. Lineage: Eukaryota; Metazoa; Chordata; Mammalia; Monotremata; Tachyglossidae. The record is from RefSeq and is a predicted model, not a curated record.